RNAcentral lists this ribosomal RNA (107 nucleotides) under Neogale vison (American mink). The record is from RNAcentral. Lineage: Eukaryota; Metazoa; Chordata; Mammalia; Carnivora; Mustelidae.
GUCUACGGCCAUACCACCCUGAACGCGCCCGAUCUCGUCUGAUCUUGGAAGCUAAGCAGGGUCAGGCCUGGUUAGUACUUGGAUGGGAGAAAUACACCAGGUGCACU